RNAcentral lists this transfer RNA (90 nucleotides) under Gracilariopsis heteroclada. RNAcentral's name for it is "tRNA-Ser". It matches the Rfam family "tRNA". From Rfam's summary of the family: Transfer RNA (tRNA) molecules are approximately 80 nucleotides in length. Their secondary structure includes four short double-helical elements and three loops (D, anti-codon, and T loops). The record is from RNAcentral. RNAcentral also lists the same sequence under 1 other name. Lineage: Eukaryota; Rhodophyta; Florideophyceae; Gracilariales; Gracilariaceae.
GGAGAGGUGGCUGAGUGGUUGAAAGCGCCAGAUUGCUAAUCUGUUGUAUGAAAUUUUAUCAUACCGAGGGUUCGAAUCCCUUCCUCUCCU